Molecule: ribosomal RNA, 860 nt
Filed under: Nocardia sp. Sp080513GE-06
Lineage: Bacteria; Bacillati; Actinomycetota; Actinomycetes; Mycobacteriales; Nocardiaceae
Description: bacterial SSU rRNA
Rfam family: Bacterial small subunit ribosomal RNA
Source: RNAcentral
GCGGCGUGCUUAACACAUGCAAGUCGAGCGGUAAGGCCCUUCGGGGUACACGAGCGGCGAACGGGUGAGUAACACGUGGGUGAUCUGCCUCGCACUCUGGGAUAAGCCUGGGAAACUGGGUCUAAUACCGGAUAUGACCACGGAUCGCAUGGUUUGUGGUGGAAAGAUUUAUCGGUGCGAGAUGGGCCCGCGGCCUAUCAGCUUGUUGGUGGGGUAAUGGCCUACCAAGGCGACGACGGGUAGCCGGCCUGAGAGGGCGACCGGCCACACUGGGACUGAGACACGGCCCAGACUCCUACGGGAGGCAGCAGUGGGGAAUAUUGCACAAUGGGCGAAAGCCUGAUGCAGCGACGCCGCGUGAGGGAUGACGGCCUUCGGGUUGUAAACCUCUUUCGACAGGGACGAAGCGCAAGUGACGGUACCUGUAGAAGAAGCACCGGCCAACUACGUGCCAGCAGCCGCGGUAAUACGUAGGGUGCGAGCGUUGUCCGGAAUUACUGGGCGUAAAGAGCUUGUAGGCGGUUCGUCGCGUCGAUCGUGAAAACUUGCAGCUCAACUGCGAGCUUGCGGUCGAUACGGGCGGACUAGAGUACUGCAGGGGAGACUGGAAUUCCUGGUGUAGCGGUGAAAUGCGCAGAUAUCAGGAGGAACACCGGUGGCGAAGGCGGGUCUCUGGGCAGUAACUGACGCUGAGAAGCGAAAGCGUGGGUAGCGAACAGGAUUAGAUACCCUGGUAGUCCACGCCGUAAACGGUGGGCGCUAGGUGUGGGUUUCCUUCCACGGGAUCCGUGCCGUAGCUAACGCAUUAAGCGCCCCGCCUGGGGAGUACGGCCGCAAGGCUAAAACUCAAAGGAAUUGAC